GACGGUUGUCCCGGUUUAAGCGUGUAGGUGUGUGUUCCAGGUAAAUCCGGUUCACUUUAACACUGAGGCGUGAUGACGAGGCACUACGGUGCUGAAGCAACAAAUGCCCUGCUUCCAGGAAAAGCCUCUAAGCAUCAGGUAACAUCAAAUCGUACCCCAAACCGACACAGGUGGUCAGGUAGAGAAUACCAAGGCGCUUGAGAGAACUCGGGUGAAGGAACUAGGCAAAAUGGUGCCGUAACUUCGGGAGAAGGCACGCUGACACGUAGGUGAAGUGAUUUACUCAUGGAGCUGAAGUCAGUCGAAGAUACCAGCUGGCUGCAACUGUUUAUUAAAAACACAGCACUGUGCAAACACGAAAGUGGACGUAUACGGUGUGACGCCUGCCCGGUGCCGGAAGGUUAAUUGAUGGGGUCAGCGCAAGCGAAGCUCCUGAUCGAAGCCCCGGUAAACGGCGGCCGUAACUAUAACGGUCCUAAGGUAGCGAAAUUCCUUGUCGGGUAAGUUCCGACCUGCACGAAUGGCGUAAUGAUGGCCAGGCUGUCUCCACCCGAGACUCAGUGAAAUUGAACUCGCUGUGAAGAUGCAGUGUACCCGCGGCAAGACGGAAAGACCCCGUGAACCUUUACUAUAGCUUGACACUGAACAUUGAGCCUUGAUGUGUAGGAUAGGUGGGAGGCUUUGAAGUGUGGACGCCAGUCUGCAUGGAGCCGGCCUUGAAAUACCACCCUUUAAUGUUUGAUGUUCUAACGUGGACCCGUGAUCCGGGUUGCGGACAGUGUCUGGUGGGUAGUUUGACUGGGGCGGUCUCCUCCUAAAGAGUAACGGAGGAGCACGAAGGUUGGCUAAUCCUGGUCGGACAUCAGGAGGUUAGUGCAAUGGCAUAAGCCAGCUUGACUGCGAGCGUGACGGCGCGAGCAGGUGCGAAAGCAGGUCAUAGUGAUCCGGUGGUUCUGAAUGGAAGGGCCAUCGCUCAACGGAUAAAAGGUACUCCGGGGAUAACAGGCUGAUACCGCCCAAGAGUUCAUAUCGACGGCGGUGUUUGGCACCUCGAUGUCGGCUCAUCACAUCCUGGGGCUGAAGUAGGUCCCAAGGGUAUGGCUGUUCGCCAUUUAAAGUGGUACGCGAGCUGGGUUUAGAACGUCGUGAGACAGUUCGGUCCCUAUCUGCCGUGGGCGCUGGAGAACUGAGGGGGGCUGCUCCUAGUACGAGAGGACCGGAGUGGACGCAUCACUGGUGUUCGGGUUGUCAUGCCAAUGGCACUGCCCGGUAGCUAAAUGCGGAAGAGAUAAGUGCUGAAAGCAUCUAAGCACGAAACUUGCCCCGAGAUGAGUUCUCCCUGAGACUUUAGGUCUCCUGAAGGAACGUUGAAGACGACGACGUUGAUAGGCCGGGUGUGUAAGCGCAGCGAUGCGUUGAGCUAACCGGUACUAAUGAACCGUGAGGCUUAACCUUACA
RNAcentral lists this ribosomal RNA (1458 nucleotides) under Salmonella enterica. RNAcentral's name for it is "partial 23S ribosomal RNA". It matches the Rfam family "Bacterial large subunit ribosomal RNA", at positions 1497 to 2925 of the family's 2925-position model. Lineage: Bacteria; Pseudomonadati; Pseudomonadota; Gammaproteobacteria; Enterobacterales; Enterobacteriaceae. The record is from RNAcentral.